This 1241-nucleotide long non-coding RNA is filed under the name Phoenix dactylifera (date palm). RNAcentral's name for it is "long non-coding RNA (PDAC_LNC015326)". The record is from RNAcentral. Lineage: Eukaryota; Viridiplantae; Streptophyta; Magnoliopsida; Arecales; Arecaceae.
CAGGACCGGUAUAGGACCGGACUAAACCGAUACGUACCGGGCCAGGCCGCCACCGGUACCGGUACGGCGGACCUUGCUUCCAAUGAUCUAAUAGCUCCUGUGUACAAGGAAAUCUCCCAUGAAAUUUCAUCUUGCAAAUUUUGAUAGUUAAGAUAGAAUUUCAUAAUGAACUCAAUCACAAAUUCAUGAAUUGCACACAUUUUCAAUUCAAAUGUAGAAGCAGCCCACCCAGUGCAAAAGGCCUUUAAGUUUUGCAUCCUAUCUUGAAUCAAUAAUUGCCCAAAUUGUAAUUUGUAAGAUCUUUUCAUCUUCAUUCAAAUGUAAGGCUACCUCCUCCUUAACAAUCAUCAAAUCACCCCAUAUAUAGCCCAUAUCCAUGCCUAAGCACUUAUAACAAGUGUUCCCAAAAUUUCAAAGCAAAUGCCACAUGGCCCCAAAUUUGGAUCUCCUUCCUAGAUUUUUGUUGUACCAUUUAGCAUUCUCCCAAUCACUGACCCUGUCUUCUUACCUAUCAUACUUUGCAAGCUCAAAAAAGUAGCAAACCAAGUUUUUUCAGAUCUCACCAAAUAUAUUUUAUUGAUGAACUUUCUCAUCAUAGUAAGUGUUUAAGGUAUGCCCAUAUAAACCCGCUUUGGCACAUAACACGCACUAUAACCCAAAUUGUAGUGCCCGCUAAUGCAACUUUUUUUCUCUCAAUAUCAGGCACUAUAGGCCCCAAUGCUAUAAGAGGCCACUAUAGUACAUAGCAUAGCAGCUUAGGUCCAAAACCACUCUAGUGGCUGCUAUGACCGUUUUUAAACAACACUUGAUAUGGUUAUUUCACUAAUGGAUGAUGUAUUAAAUUGGUCACGUACAAGACGCACCUGCAUGCUUUAUUUGACCAACUAUAAAGGAAGCCUUUGAAAGGUUUCUAGUGAAACACAUCCAAACAAGUUAUAAUUUGCAAUUUUGCAUCACAAAGAAAUUCUCCUAAUAUAUGUAACUAGUCCAUUGUAUAAUUCUAGCAAGUUUGGUUUAAGUAGCUGCUCUCGGAUGAGUACAUUUGGGAACGAAGCAUAAUAUGUUAUGUAAACUAGGUUGGGACAAGGUUAAUGUGUCAGAAUAUGUUGGGCAAGUCAGGUGCGAAUCUCCUAGUCCGAUGCCCAUGCUAUGGGCAUAGGCCAAACUAUUGUACACCAUCAGCAAGCAAAAGAUUGGAGGCUUAAGUCAAAAAUAAUAAAAAAAAUCCCAGCACAAGCCAA